CAGUAGCCACGGUAAAACGUAGGGUGCAAGCGUUGUCCGGAAUUAUUGGGCGUAAAGAGCUCGUAGGCGGUUUGUCGCGUCUGCUGUGAAAUCCCGAGGCUCAACCUCGGGCUUGCAGUGGGUACGGGCAGACUAGAGUGCGGUAGGGGAGAUUGGAAUUCCUGGUGUAGCGGUGGAAUGCGCAGAUAUCAGGAGGAACACCGAUGGCGAAGGCAGAUCUCUGGGCCGUAACUGACGCUGAGGAGCGAAAGCGUGGGGAGCGAACAGGAUUAGAUACCCCAGUAGUCCCUGUCUCUUAUAC
RNAcentral lists this ribosomal RNA (301 nucleotides) under uncultured bacterium. Its description in RNAcentral is "partial 16S ribosomal RNA". It matches the Rfam family "Bacterial small subunit ribosomal RNA", at positions 509 to 807 of the family's 1533-position model. The record is from RNAcentral.